GCGGGCGUAGUUUAAUGGUAAAACCGCAGUCUUCCAAACUGCUGUUGUCGGUUCGAUUCCGUCCGCCCGCU
This is a transfer RNA of Synechococcus sp. JA-2-3B'a(2-13), 71 nucleotides long. It matches the Rfam family "tRNA". Rfam says of the family: Transfer RNA (tRNA) molecules are approximately 80 nucleotides in length. The record is from Rfam. Lineage: Bacteria; Bacillati; Cyanobacteriota; Cyanophyceae; Synechococcales; Synechococcaceae.